This is a non-coding RNA of Ovis aries (sheep), 61 nucleotides long. The record is from Rfam. Lineage: Eukaryota; Metazoa; Chordata; Mammalia; Artiodactyla; Bovidae.
GAAAUGGUUUACCGUCCCACAUACAUUCUGAAUAUGUAUGUGGGACGGUAAACCACAAAAG